CUUUCAAAAGGGAUCUGUGACAUGCCUGGAUUAUAGCAUAAACUCGGAUAAUUGACACUGGGGCCCAGGCAUCUGGGCUAGCUUAGCAGCAGAUGUUCACAGUCACUUUCUAAAGCCAUCUUCGUGCUCCUGUGUUCUGGUGUUGCGCUUCUGAGGGGAUGUUGCUAAAUUUCUGAAGACGUCUCCUGCAUGUUGUAAAGUUCAGCUGCUUUCUGCUUAGCCCCCAGGCUGUUCUUGUGGGGACAUAGCAGGGAAGGGAGGAUUUGAAGGAGAUGACUAGAGGAGUGUUAAUUCUUGUUGGUUUAAUAUCCCUCAGUACUACAGAGCAAGAAAGCACAAACAGGAGCAGAACCAAGCUUUUUCCCCAGUCUGCAAAUGUAAGCACUCAGACCAGUUUUUAAUACCCAUUUUUGAGGGAGCAUUAGUUGACCAGAAGGAACAAUGAAGAGAAGGAAUUACUUGAACAGCCCUGAAGGAUAUGAUGAUGAUUUCCAGUAUGAGUCCUACAAUGCCAAAUUCCUUGCAUUCCAGUAACUUCACAGAGAGAAGGGGAAAUAGUGAACAAAAGGACACACUGAAUUUUGUCAUCAUGGAGAUAAAAAAGUGA
RNAcentral lists this long non-coding RNA (607 nucleotides) under Chrysolophus pictus (golden pheasant). RNAcentral's name for it is "lncRNA (ENSCPIG00010002181.1)". The record is from RNAcentral. Lineage: Eukaryota; Metazoa; Chordata; Aves; Galliformes; Phasianidae.